GAAAAUGUUUUUAAAUCUUAGCUGUUGCAUUCUUAUUUGUCCUCUUCUUUUCUGAAGUAGCUCCUUGCACUAUAUAUUGCGAGCAGCCUUGCCUGUUAUUGAGCACAAUAUCUAGUUUGAAGAUGGUAUGGGACUAGUUAUGUAUGUGUGUAAUUCACUUAGUUUAGAAUGACAAGGACUUUUCUGUCAAAGUCCAUUUCUGUAGAUGAACAAACACAAACUGCUCUCUCUCUCUCUUCACAAACUGAUAGAGAUCUGAUGAGAAUGUCGAGACUCUUCAUCGACAAACUGCAAAUGUUUCUUUCUCUGUGCAAUCUAUGAACAACUUAAUUCUCCACCAUAACUAUCUAUUCUACUGUAGCAUCUUAGUAAACCUCUUCACAUUGUAGAAAUAUCUGGAAUCAUUGUUCAUUGCUUGAUAAGAAUGAAUAUUUUUAGCUCUUUUUUGUUGUCGUUUUUAUUUGGAGGGGUUCCCCUGUUUCUGUAAAGCUUCUACAAUUACUCCCUUCAUUUAUAAAUUCUUUAAUUUUUAUAAGAGAAGAAUAUUGUCAUCUAAUGUAAUCAUCUUUGUUAUAACAUUGGUUUCGAUGCAUACACACUGAUUGUGAUGAGUCACAUUGUCUUAGAAGUGAAUUAGCAGAGGUCGUUAAGAACCAGACCCAAAAGACUUUUGAGUAAUUUAGCUAUUUUCACUUCUGAGUUCAAAUUUGAUGAAAAUUAAAUUUGCUUUUUCAUCCCUGUAGAUAAAAAAUAUAUAAAUUAAUGAAUAUAAUAAAUUGAUACUAAAGCAAUAAUGCCAAGAACACCUGUCUUUAUAUUACUGAAUCAAGUAUAUUGUCAUCACAUCAUUUGAAAAGAGUUGUUCUCCAAAGCUGAGAUACAAGAGUCACUAACAUAUAUUAAAAUCUACCAAAAUAUGUUAUGAAUGAAUAUGUAAAUCAUUGUUUUAAUUUUCACUGUUUUAUGUACCCAUGAUAAUUGAUCAUAAAUUAUCAUGAUAAUUGAUCAUGUGUCUACAGAAAAAGAAUAAAGUUUCCAUUUAAUGAAAGUGUUGCAACUUUAAAGUUAGGUCUUUGGAUUCCCUUGGCAUAUUCUCGGCUAUAACUUCUGAUUAUUUCCCUCAAAUCAAUCAAGUUAACUGUCUCAACAAGUUAAACUGGGACUACAAGCAUUAUUAACUGAGAUGCCAAUCCAUCUCAGAUCACCUCUGGCUCUACGAUACAUACAUCCUGUUUUAAAUUAUCGAGAUUAAAACCUUUGAAAAUUUCUUAAUUCAUGUUCCAAAGACUGACAAAACAAGAACAUAUUGCUAAAUUCUUCAUUAUUUUCAAAAUUAAUUAAAACAAAGGCAGAAAUAUGGAAAUGAAAGGGGUUAAUAACGUAAACAAUUUGUUGCUGUAGUUCAAAGGUUUCCUUAUUUUGUUGUGAAAGAGUUGAAGGGGGGAGUUCACUGAUUUUAGCCUAGAAGUUUCUCUGAGCCUCUUGUCUUUCUUAUGAUAAAAACAAAAAUAUUUAUGAUGAAGAUAAUUAUUAUGCUCCAACAAACAAACUUUUGUAUGUCUAUUUUAUUAUUUGAUUGCCAAGCCUUUGGCAAGUUACUAGUAGAAUGCACUUGUAGAGGUCACAAUGAUGUUAAUAGCAUUUUCCUUUCACUACAAUAAAAAAAAUUAUUUUCCUUUCACUACAUGUUUCAUGUUUUUAAUCUUUGAAGCAUUGAAAAUGCUUUCACCAACUUAAUUAUUUAGAAUCAAGUAAAAUGCCUGUAGUUAUAUAUAAAGUUACCUUUGGUAAUUUUUUUUCUACAACUGUGUGUAGUAUUUUAAAGUUUUUUUAAAAAUAAUAUAUUGUUCUUUUCUCCCUUAAGGAUUCUUUAUUUGGCCUUUUUCUUUUCCUUCCAACCAAUUUAUUACUCCAUGUGUUCUGCUUUUGCAAUGAUUUUUGAUAUCUAUAUUUUUGUAGAAUUUCUUCAUAUAUAUAUAUAUAUAUAUAUAUAUAUAUAUAAUGUAUGUAUAUAGCUACUGCUUUAGAAUUCCUUCCCAUGUGAUAGCUAUAACUAUUCUGAUUUUCCACCUUAGCUGCUGGCUUAAUCAUUUUCUAGCUCUCUCAACUUCUAAUCUGAUCCCUGCCCAAACAAAUUACAAAAAUAAUCCAGUUUGCCAUUUUAAAUUUAUCUAAUUAGCUUCAUUAACAAUAUAUCAAUGUUGGUUAAUUGUUUUAAUUAUUAAUUCACAUUCUUCUCAUUUCCCUUAACAGGUGUAAACAAUAUAAAUUUUGUAGACAUUUGAUGAAUGUUCACAUUGUUCUUUUGUUUUUUAGUUUUAUUGUUCUUCUCCUUUUAUAUUGCAUCGUUAGACUGAUUAUCAACUCUGUAAUCUCACCACUUGUGACUUUGAUCUCUUUCCAAGUUAGUUAAACUUUUAUUAUUCCAGCUUCACCACAGUCAUCUUCUGACUUUCUACCAAAUUUAACUGGCAUUUUUUUCUUCUUUUGUUACCAUUUUGGAAG
RNAcentral lists this long non-coding RNA (2505 nucleotides) under Octopus sinensis (East Asian common octopus). RNAcentral's name for it is "uncharacterized LOC118762402". The record is from RNAcentral. Lineage: Eukaryota; Metazoa; Mollusca; Cephalopoda; Octopoda; Octopodidae.